Molecule: ribosomal RNA, 1235 nt
Filed under: Conger myriaster (whitespotted conger)
Lineage: Eukaryota; Metazoa; Chordata; Actinopteri; Anguilliformes; Congridae
Description: partial 16S ribosomal RNA
Rfam family: Bacterial large subunit ribosomal RNA
Source: RNAcentral
AGCAUCAUAGUCUGAGACCCCGAAACUAGACGAGCUACUCCGAAGCAGUCUAAAAGGACUAACCCGUCUCUGUGGCAAAAGAGUGGGAAGACUUCCGAGUAGAGGUGAAAAGCCUACCGAGCCUAGUUAUAGCUGGUUGCUUAAGAAAAGAAUAUGAGUUCAGCCUUAUAAGUUUCUCAAAAAUCAAAAUGAAAGAAUAAAGUAACACAUAAGAGUUAGUCGAAGGGGGUACAGCUCCUUCGAAAAAGAACACAACCUUACCCAGGUAAAUAAGGAUUAUACUAAAAAAGGACAUGACUUUCAACAGUGGGCCCGAAAGCAGCCACCUCUAAUAGAAAGCGUUAAAGCUCAAGAACAGCCACACCAAAAAUAAAAAUAACCACUCCUAAUUUCCUAAUAAUAUUAAGCUACCCUAUUUUAUAGGAGAAAUUAUGCUAAAAUGAGUAAUAAGAGAAACUAGACCCUCUCCGGGCACACGUGUAAAUUAGAGCGGACAAACCACUGACAACUAACGGACCCAAAAAAGAGGGUAAAACAACAAAACUCAAUAAACAAGAAAAACCUAUUAAAACAACCGUUAACCCAACACAGGAGUGCCACUUAAGGAAAGACUAAAAGGGGAAGAAGGAACUCGGCAAACACAAACCUCGCCUGUUUACCAAAAACACCGCCUCCUGCAAAUAGAAUGUAUUGGAGGUCCUGCCUGCCCAGUGACAAUAGGUUCAACGGCCGCGGUAUUUUGACCGUGCAAAGGUAGCGUAAUCACCUGUCUUUUAAAUAAAGACCUGUAUGAAUGGCAAGACGAGGGUUUUACUGUCUCCUCCCCCCAGUCAAUGAAAUUGAUCUACCCGUGCAGAAGCGGGUAUAAAAACAUAAGACGAGAAGACCCUAUGGAGCUUUAGGCACACAUCAAAUAUGUAAAAAACCAAAUCUUCCAAAUAGGCCUAAAAAAUGAGAAAAACAAGUAUUAAUGAUUAAUUGCCUUCGGUUGGGGCGACCACGGGGAAAAAUAAAACCCCCACAUGGAAUGGGUAAAAUUAUCCUAAGCCAAGAAAAACAAUUCUAAGCAACAAAAUUUUUGACCAAUAAACGACCCAGGGACAACAUCCCUGAGCAAUGAACCAAGUUACCCUAGGGAUAACAGCGCAAUCCUUUCCCAGAGCCCAUAUCAACGAAAGGGUUUACGACCUCGAUGUUGGAUCAGGGCAUCCUAACGGUGCAGCCGCUGUUAAGGG